UACGGAGGGUGCAAGCGUUAUCCGGAUUCACUGGGUUUAAAGGGUGCGUAGGUGGGCUGGUAAGUCAGUGGUGAAAUCUCCGAGCUUAACUCGGAAACUGCCAUUGAUACUAUCGGUCUUGAAUACCGUGGAGGUCAGUAGAAUAUGUCAUGUAGCGGUGAAAUGCUUAGAUAUGACAUAGAAUACCAAUUGCGAAGGCAGCUGGCUACACGAAUAUUGACACUCAGGCACGAAAGCGUGGGGAUCAAACAGG
This 253-nucleotide ribosomal RNA is filed under the name uncultured bacterium. Its description in RNAcentral is "partial 16S ribosomal RNA". It matches the Rfam family "Bacterial small subunit ribosomal RNA", at positions 524 to 776 of the family's 1533-position model. The record is from RNAcentral.